ACCAUAGCUGGUCUUUGAGAGACGUACAGCCACACUGGGACUGAGACACGGCCCAGACUCCUACGGGAGGCAGCAGUGGGGAAUCUUGCACAAUGGGGUCACCCCUGAUGCAGCCAUGCCGCGUGGAGGAAGACACCCUAUGGGGGGUAAACUCCUUUUCUGAAUGAAGAAACCCCUGUAGCUUCACGGCGCGACGGUAGUUCAGGAAUAA
This 211-nucleotide ribosomal RNA is filed under the name unidentified. RNAcentral's name for it is "partial 16S ribosomal RNA". It matches the Rfam family "Bacterial small subunit ribosomal RNA", at positions 280 to 489 of the family's 1533-position model. The record is from RNAcentral.